UACGUAGGGUGCAGGCGUUAUCCGGAUUUAUUGGGUUUAAAGGGUGCGUAGGCGGCCUAUUAAGUCAGGGGCGAAAGACGGUAGCUCAACUAUCGCAGUGCCUUUGAUACUGAUGGGCUUGAAUAUACUAGAGGUAGGCGGAAUGUGACAAGUAGCGGUGAAAUGCAUAGAUAUGUCACAGAACACCGAUUGCGAAGGCAGCUUACUAUGGUAUUAUUGACGCUGAGGCACGAAAGCGUGGGGAUCAAACAGG
Molecule: ribosomal RNA, 253 nt
Filed under: uncultured bacterium
Lineage: Bacteria
Description: partial 16S ribosomal RNA
Rfam family: Bacterial small subunit ribosomal RNA
Source: RNAcentral